GGGGGUGUGCCCGAGCGGUCAAAGGGAGCAGACUGUAAAUCUGCCGGCUUAUGCCUACAGUGGUUCGAACCCACUCGCCCCCACCA
RNAcentral lists this transfer RNA (86 nucleotides) under Myxococcales bacterium. Its description in RNAcentral is "tRNA-Tyr". It matches the Rfam family "tRNA". From Rfam's summary of the family: Transfer RNA (tRNA) molecules are approximately 80 nucleotides in length. Their secondary structure includes four short double-helical elements and three loops (D, anti-codon, and T loops). Further hydrogen bonds mediate the characteristic L-shaped molecular structure. tRNAs have two regions of fundamental functional importance: the anti-codon, which is responsible for specific mRNA codon recognition, and the 3' end, to which the tRNAs corresponding amino acid is attached (by aminoacyl-tRNA synthetases). tRNAs cope with the degeneracy of the genetic code in two manners: having more than one tRNA (with a specific anti-codon) for a particular amino acid; and 'wobble' base-pairing, i.e. permitting non-standard base-pairing at the 3rd anti-codon position. Lineage: Bacteria; Pseudomonadati; Myxococcota; Myxococcia; Myxococcales. The record is from RNAcentral.